This 323-nucleotide ribosomal RNA is filed under the name uncultured eukaryote. Its description in RNAcentral is "partial 18S ribosomal RNA". It matches the Rfam family "Eukaryotic small subunit ribosomal RNA", at positions 1470 to 1796 of the family's 1831-position model. The record is from RNAcentral.
CCCUUAGAUGUUCUGGGCUGCACGCGUGCUACACUGAUAUUGCCAAUAUGUCAUUCUUAUCCGAAAUGGAUUGGGUAAUCAAGUAAUGAAAUUUCAUGCUUGGAAUCGGUAAUUGCAAUUUUAUCGUGAACGAGGAAUUCCUAGUAAGCACUAGUCAUCAGCUAAUGUUGAUUAUGUCCCUGCCUUUUGUACACACCGCCCGUCGCUACUACUGAUUGGGUGUUCAAGUGAGAUGCUUAGACCCUUGUUGCAUGGUUCAUUAUUGUGCUCCGAAAGGAAAAAGUUUCAAGCUUGAGUGUCUAGAGGAAGUAAAAGUCGUAACA